UCAGUAUGAAGCUCCAAAUGCAACGAUGCUUCAACUUCGCCGCUCCUCCCACCUGUAUCGUCUUCCCCGAUAUUGUUUUCCAAUUAAAACAAACCAAAUAUAUGAAUCACUUCGCAUCAUAAAUAAGAAUACAUCUAAGAACUCAUCUCAAGAACGGAACCGAGACGAACAACGCGAAGAAUCGUGGAUCCGAAAUCACCUCCCGAAAUCGCAUUACACGUUCAACCUUUGAACUUGAACCAACUCCAUACGUGUAGCAACAAAAUUAACCAAGUGACACCAUGAAUCGAGUAUUGAAACGAGAAGGUAGCAGGGAACUCACCAGAUUGAGAUCGUGACACAGUGGCAAAACAGAGUACUAUGAACCUGAUGCAGAGGAUCGAGCUUAGUGGAGAGGAUUGAGAACUUAUGCAAAGCUUGAGCUUUAUGAACUUGGUGAAGAAUGAGCUCGAGAUUCUGCAGAGAACUUGAGAUUGUACAUAGCUAUGAACUAAAUGUAGAGAAUUGAGAAGAAAAUGAGAUUCUGGACUUGGUGCAGAAUGAGCUAGCCCGCCCGAGAUAUUGAGCUUGGUCUGGUAUUGAUGAACUGUUGUUGCUACUAGAGAACAAGUUAUUUCACAUGAGCUUCCUUCCACUGCAGAGCAAAAUGAUGAGUUCAUUCUUGGUUAAGGUACUAAAGAAACAAGUCCUCAUCAUCCUUAUGUCCUUGACUUCAGAGCAUGCGACAAGACAGAUUCUGCAUCAAGAAAUUCGGGGAGCUCUGUUACUGUGGGUUUCACCUUUGAGCUAGCUUCACUUCACUUUUUGAGCAGUGCAUAAUAUUUACAUUUGUUGCAAUAUGCGAAUGUCUAUUCAAAGCCUUUAUUGCCACACUUAAGACAAACAGAUACUUGAGGUAACUAAAUUAUCCCCAUUGCCACUUUCGCUUGAGAACUUUCAUCUGCAAUUUCAUUUUCAGUACUGAUCUCUGAAGCGGCAUUAAUCUCCAUUGAGUUUGAAGGUUGUUAAUCAUUUUGAUGAACAAUAUGGUGUUGAAUCUCAUUCUGAACUAUUCUUUCUGACAUUUCUGUCUAUUUAACAUCUAUUUGCAUAGAUAAUUAAGUAUCAAUAGGAGAUUUCGAUGGUGCUGUUACUAUUGCAUAAGAAUCAGAACAUCAAUCUUUGAUGAAAGUAUUAAUAUCAGAACCUGCAGGAGCAUUAAACUCUAUUGAGAUUGAGUGUAGUUGAUCAUUUGUUCUCACAACACAAUGUUGAACCUCAUGAUGUUCUUUUCCUUUUAUUUCCAACUGGGAGUCAAUUUGAAUUGGAGGUGUAUUGGAAUCAAUGAUUGAAACGCAUGAGAAUGGCAAUGUGAAUGUUAUUUUAUGGAAAAUUGAUGGAAUGUUAAUUGUAUUCCAUGUGUAUGGAAAACUAUUGAAUUGUUAAUGUGUAUUAGAUGUUAUAAAAUUUGGAUGUAGAUGGAUUGUAUAUUAACCUGUAAAUGUGAUUUUGAAUGGUUUAUGGAAUCUUGAUUUUUUA
Lathyrus oleraceus (garden pea) is the source of this 1518-nucleotide long non-coding RNA. RefSeq lists it as uncharacterized. The record is from RefSeq and is a predicted model, not a curated record. The transcript is spliced from 3 exons. NCBI's taxonomy places the organism in Eukaryota, Viridiplantae, Streptophyta, Magnoliopsida, Fabales, Fabaceae.